This 774-nucleotide long non-coding RNA is filed under the name Phoenix dactylifera (date palm). RNAcentral's name for it is "long non-coding RNA (PDAC_LNC000615)". Lineage: Eukaryota; Viridiplantae; Streptophyta; Magnoliopsida; Arecales; Arecaceae. The record is from RNAcentral.
AAGAUGAGUUUGAGAAUUGAUAAUCCACUGUGGUAAAGAGGAUUGUACCAUCGGUAGAACACAAGCAGCCGAUUUUGGCAAUUAUUUUGUUAGAGUUUAUGCUAGAGAUGAGAUUUUCUCCUAUUAAGACUUCCGCCACCCAAAUGAAUUAGAGUGGAGAGAGAGGGUCACCUUAAUUUGGACAUAUCAUAUUGCACAUCUAUUUACCAAGUUUUCCGUUAACUAACAAUGCAAAUUUAUCAAUCUCUAGACAAAGUCGGGUCCAAUUUAUCUACUUUGAGUCAAACUCUUCGACCUCUAGGAGUUUUAACAUAAAUUUUCAGUUUACUCCAUCAAAUGAUUUUUUUAAUAUCUAUUUUAUAAACUAUACUUGCCUCUUUAGAGCAUUUGCUUCUCGGCUGCACUGGAAAAACUAUCUUGAAUUGCUCUUCCUUUAAGAAAUAUUAGUUGAGAGUUAGAGAUUAACCGGUGCACGUGUUUCUCUAGCUAGAUUGAGAGAAUCUUUGUGACAAUUUUUGGUACACUGUUAAUUAGGCUUGUGAGUCAGUAGAAAUCAACUUUCUUGGGUCUUAAUUAAAUUUGUGGAUAAUUUAACUUGCAUAUAAACAUUGGAAGAGAUUAGUGAAGUCUUGCUCAGUCGGAACCAAAAAAUGCUGGUUGAAUGAUAUUGGAAAUCCAUCGAUCCCUAGUGAUUUAUUGCCAACAAUAACAAAAAUGAUAGUUUUUAUCUCCUCCUCUUAAAAUGGAUUAUCAAACUUAGUUUUAUCUAGUAGA